GUGUGCCAAGCUAUGUCAGCUGAUCCGUCAGCUGUAGUGUUCACUUGAUCAUGAAUAACCCGUUUCUCCUGGCAUUAUACACACAUGUAGUUGCUUGUAGUGUGAGCUUGGUACCAGAGGUGAGUCAGGAGGGACUCCUUCAGCCAUACACCACCUAUGCUGAUGUUACCCUCUUCCAUUUUCACAUUCCUGAUGAGGUGACCAGAGUAACAUGGGAAUUUGCUGCCUUUAUGGAUGACCCGGGGUGCCCUGUUCGAGAGGUUCAUGUACUUGUUCAGCAUGGGAGUUAUCCAGUUGUUACCAAAAAUAAUGCAACUCUGCAAGACUAUAUGUACACUCAGCGAUCAGCAGUGCACAAGAUCAGCACAAAGUCAGCAUUUCAACCCCAUGAUGCAACUGUCCUACCUGUUUAUAACCCAUUGCCAGGAAGCUGGUUUGCUGCUGCUUAUAUACCGGAUUGGAAUGAGCAGAUGCAACAAGAGGGCAUUAUACACAAGUGCCGUUACAGUCUGGGAUCUAUUGCAAUGUGGAGUCAGAAGGAUCACAUUCAAACUCUAAACAUAGGAAUAAAACAGUCAGUUAGAACUCAUGAAAACCUUUCAUAUUAUAGGUUCUAUGUUCCUUCUCACACCUGGUUUUUGCAAGUCAAUGUCUCUAACUGCCAUAUACUUGAACAAAUUAUUAACCAGGAUACAGGAGAGCGGCUUUUUAGAUGGUGCAUUCGAUCCCUUGCCUUUAAUGCCAGGUCUCUUCCAGCAUAUAACCCAGAUGUUGGGGUAGCCAAUAUAACACAAGGAGACAGUCAUGUUUUUACUGAAUUGAGGCCAUAUUCUGAUGGCUAUUAUUAUCUCUUGGUUGUAACUGAAGGAGAGACUGGCAUAGAUAUUACUGUUCGCACAAAAGAAUGUGGUAGUGCCUUCAAAAAGCUUUGGCCUCAUAUCCGAGAUGUAAAAGCAUCUGAAUAUACUGAAGUAUCUUCUAAACAAGAGAUGGAGUUUGUUGGGACGGCCACACCUAUAAAUAUUACUGUAUCGGUUUCAACUAGUGAAGAUUAUGGUAACUCCCAGCAUGAAUCAUCAAAGAUGUUGGACUGGGAAGAAAUGUGGCCUAAUAUAACAAAUGAAUCUCCACUUGUUUUGUCUCACUUACCUGAUGAGUCUCCUCCUAUACUGGAUGCUGACUUUGCUGCCGUGGGUCAUCAGUGUUACCCUGUGUUGCCUCUGGCUCGCAUCAAGCAUGCCAGUGAUUUUACUGACACCUUUUUAAUACAGGGGCCAGAUUGGUACAGUACAUGGUUGUCAGUACAGAGAGACUUGCCGGUCUUCACGUAUCUUACACUCCUGCCCUUUACAGACAUUGGUGGAACUUUGAGUGUAAACAUACUCUUGGACGAGUUACUGAUGAAUGCGACCCAUCAGCUUAUAACAGUCACAGGUUGUGUGAGAAAAGGUCGCCCUCCAGAUGUUAAAAAUGAUACACUCAUUUGUGGGGAGCCACAGCUCACCCUCAACGUCACCUCCUCCUCUAGAGCUACUGUAGAAGAUUUCAUACUCAUUCCAUUCCCAGAACCUGAUGUGUGGUUCUUGGCUCUCCAGACAAUUUGCUAUCACAAAGGGCAGAAGACUCCCUGUAUUAGAGAUCAAGUCCUGGUUAGUAUUGACAUCCGGACUCAGCCUUGUGUCUUUGCUGGUGAAAGUCCAUGUGGCAACAAUGGUUUAUGUCAAGAGACCCACCGUGGAAUGUUCUUCUUUACCAGCUGUGUUUGCACAGCAGGUUGGCGAGGAUGGGGCUGUGAAGAUGGUGGAUCUGCACAGGGCUGGACCUCUGUGCUGACUGGCUUAUGUCUCCUUACACUUAGCAAUAUUUUUUUUCUGCCCCCCAUUAUUAUUGCUGCACGUAGGCACUUAUACUCCCAGGCCCUGUUGUUUACAGCUACCAUGAUUGCUUCUAUAUUCUACCAUGCUUGUGAUAAUGAAUUGUUGGCCUUGGGGGCAUGGACGAAGCCUUUUGUCCGCUGUUUCAUACUCUUGGGGUUAUUAUUAUUGCUCCAGCCGUCCAAUACAGCCGAACAGCCCUCGCAUCAUUUACUGUACCCAUGGCUGUUGCAACUGCUGUACCUCUUUGCCACAUUGUGUACCAGCGGUGGCACAAGGGUGCCUGGCCUUCCGUUCAGCCAAGGCAGUUCUUGUACCGUGGUAUUGGUAUAAGUCUUGCUCUUAUAGGCCUUAUAAUGUUUGCCCUCAUACAAACCAAGGAUAACUAUAAAUAUGUACACAGCACCUGGCAUGUUGUCAUCGCGCUCUCUCUUGUCUUCCUGCUUCCGUCCCGCAGUCCAUCUGUCCUGGCUCACAAAGCAAAUGGCCAAGUGACUGGGCACUCUGCUUCUUUAGCCAGUGAUG
Molecule: unclassified non-coding RNA, 2399 nt
Filed under: Homarus americanus (American lobster)
Lineage: Eukaryota; Metazoa; Arthropoda; Malacostraca; Decapoda; Nephropidae
Description: transmembrane protein 8B-like, transcript variant X3
Source: RNAcentral